RNAcentral lists this non-coding RNA (28 nucleotides) under Mus musculus (house mouse). The record is from RNAcentral. Lineage: Eukaryota; Metazoa; Chordata; Mammalia; Rodentia; Muridae.
UGCAACUCUCUUGGUUCAGUCUUCAGGU